This 75-nucleotide microRNA precursor is filed under the name Myotis brandtii (Brandt's bat). Its description in RNAcentral is "mir-9229 microRNA precursor family". It matches the Rfam family "mir-9229 microRNA precursor family". The record is from Rfam by way of RNAcentral. Lineage: Eukaryota; Metazoa; Chordata; Mammalia; Chiroptera; Vespertilionidae.
GAGACACCCUUAUGGGGCAGGACUUGCUUCAGUGGGGCUUUGGCCCCACUGAGUCUGCCCCCCGAGUGUGUCUCU